Molecule: ribosomal RNA, 488 nt
Filed under: uncultured soil bacterium
Lineage: Bacteria
Description: bacterial SSU rRNA
Rfam family: Bacterial small subunit ribosomal RNA
Source: RNAcentral
GACCAAGAGACCGGCGCACGGGUGCGUAACGCGUAUGCAAUCUACCUUUCACAGAGGGAUAGCCCAGAGAAAUUUGGAUUAAUACCUCGUAGCAUUAUGGAGUGGCAUCACUUUAUAAUUAAAGUCACAACGGUGAAAGAUGAGCAUGCGUCCCAUUAGCUAGUUGGUAAGGUAACGGCUUACCAAGGCUACGAUGGGUAGGGGUCCUGAGAGGGAGAUCCCCCACACUGGUACUGAGACACGGACCAGACUCCUACGGGAGGCAGCAGUGAGGAAUAUUGGACAAUGGGCGCAAGCCUGAUCCAGCCAUGCCGCGUGCAGGAUGACGGUCCUAUGGAUUGUAAACUGCUUUUGUACAGGAAGAAACAACUCUACGUGUAGAGUCUUGACGGUACCAGAGGAAUAAGCACCGGCUAACUCCGUGCCAGCAGCCGCGGUAAUACGGAGGGUGCAAGCGUUAUCCGGAUUUACUGGGUUUAAAGGGUGCG